AUUGAACGCUGGCGGCAUGCCUUACGCAUGCAAGUCGAACGGUAACAGGUCUUCGGAUGCUGACGAGUGACGAACGGGUGAGUAAUACAUCGGAACGUGCCUAGUAGUGGGGGAUAACUACUCGAAAGAGUGGCUAAUACCGCAUGAGAUCUACGGAUGAAAGCAGGGGAUCGCAAGACCUUGUGCUACUAGAGCGGCCGAUGGCAGAUUAGGUAGUUGGUGGGAUAAAAGCUUACCAAGCCGACGAUCUGUAGCUGGUCUGAGAGGACGAUCAGCCACACUGGGACUGAGACACGGCCCAGACUCCCACGGGAGGCAGCAGUGGGGAAUUUUGGACAAUGGGCGCAAGCCUGAUCCAGCAAUGCCGCGUGCAGGAUGAAGGCCUUCGGGUUGUAAACUGCCUUUGUACGGAACGAAAAGCCCCGGGUUAAUACCCUGGGGUCAUGACGGUACCGUAAGAAUAAGCACCGGCUAACUACGUGCCAGCCGCCGCAGUAA
This 498-nucleotide ribosomal RNA is filed under the name uncultured bacterium. Its description in RNAcentral is "partial 16S ribosomal RNA". It matches the Rfam family "Bacterial small subunit ribosomal RNA", at positions 30 to 523 of the family's 1533-position model. The record is from RNAcentral.